This is a non-coding RNA of Mesocricetus auratus (golden hamster), 182 nucleotides long. NCBI's taxonomy places the organism in Eukaryota, Metazoa, Chordata, Mammalia, Rodentia, Cricetidae. The record is from Rfam.
AGAAUGCAGGGUAGAUACCAUGAUCACGUAGGUGGUUUUCCCAGGGCGAGGCCCACCCAUUGCACUUGGGGUGUGCUGACCCCUGCGAUUUCCUCAAAUGCGGGAAACUCGACUGCAUAAUUUGUGGUAGUGUGGGACUGAAAAAGAAAAAAAAAAAGAAUGUAAGACUGCUCUAUCCUGAU